UACACAUGCAAGUCGAACGGCAGCACGGACUUCGGUCUGGUGGCGAGUGGCGAACGGGUGAGUAAUAUAUCGGAACGUAUCCAAUAAUGGGGGAUAACUAAUCGAAAGGUUGGCUAAUACCGCAUACGCCCUACGGGGGAAAGCAGGGGAUCUUCGGACCUUGCGUUAAUGGAGCGGCUGAUAUCUGAUUAGCUAGUUGGUGAGGUAAAGGCUCACCAAGGCGACGAUCAGUAGCUGGUCUGAGAGGACGACCAGCCACACUGGAACUGAGACACGGUCCAGACUCCUACGGGAGGCAGCAGUGGGGAAUUUUGGACAAUGGGCGCAAGCCUGAUCCAGCCAUUCCGCGUGAGUGAAGAAGGCCUUCGGGUUGUAAAGCUCUUUCGCAAGGGAAGAAAACUUACUUUUUAAUAAAGAGUGAGGUUGACGGUACCUUGAUAAGAAGCACCGGCUAACUACGUGCCAGCAGCCGCGGUAAUACGUAGGGUGCGAGCGUUAAUCGGAAUUACUGGGCGUAAAGCGUGCGCAGGCGGUUUUGUAAGUCAGAUGUGAAAUUCCCGAGCUCAACUUGGGAACUGCGUUUGAAACUACAAGACUAGAAUAUGUCAGAGGGGGGUAGAAUUCCACGUGUAGCAGUGAAAUGCGUAGAGAUGUGGAGGAAUACCAAUGGCGAAGGCAGCCCCCUGGGAUAAUAUUGACGCUCAUGCACNAAAGCGUGGGGAGCAAACAGGAUUAGAUACCCUGGUAGUCCACGCCCUAAACGAUGUCUACUANUUG
This 777-nucleotide ribosomal RNA is filed under the name uncultured bacterium SY6-54. Its description in RNAcentral is "bacterial SSU rRNA". It matches the Rfam family "Bacterial small subunit ribosomal RNA", at positions 50 to 822 of the family's 1533-position model. The record is from RNAcentral.